CGGUGGUUUUGUAAAGCUGCUGAGGGAGAGCGAGUGUGUGAGUGGAUGAAAAGAGGGCAAAGGAAAGAGUACAACUGGGGGAGAUGCUGCCAGGGAGAGGCUGGUGGGAGGGGUCACAGCAGGACGGGGUGCAUCCGUGGCCCCCCCACCGGGCCUCAGGACAAUGCUUUUGAUGACUAGAUCUAGAAGAAUGAUGGCCAGUGGAUGGAAAUAGCAGUUUAGAAAAGAAAUGAGUAGACUGAUGUCUUCAGGGCUUACUGGUAAAUCAUCUUUCUAAGAGUAGAGCUCCUUUUGAAAAUCUUUUUUUUUUUUUAAACAAAAUAUGUGCUGGUUGCUACAGAUUCAGUCAGGGUAAGCAUAAAUAAAGGUGAAAAUUCCCAUUCCUCUCUCCAGUCCCUCUUUCUUCCACUGCCACUAAUAGUUUGACAUAUGUCCUUGCAAUAGUUUUCAGUGUCUUUAGAGAUUACAUAUAUAUCUAUAUAUAUAAAAUGUUAAAAUGCAUAUCUUGUCUUGCGACAUUCUUAUAAAGUUAACAGCAGAGUUCUCUUUGUAUAAGUAUGCCUCAUAUUUUUUAUUUUUAUAUUUUUGUAUAAAUGUAGCAUUUAUUUAUUCUCCUUUUUCCUAUAUCCAGUCUGCUUUACAAAGAGUGCUGCAUUGAAUAUCUUUGUCCGUUUAUCUUUGUCCACUUCCGUGAGUAUUCCCAUGGCAGCACUGCCCAGUAGAACUUUCUGUGGUGAUGAAAAUGAGGUAUGUCUGCACUGUCCCACACGGCAGCCACCAGCCAUGCGAAGCUGUUGAGCACUUGAAAUGUAAGUAGGUCGGUGGAAGAACUCAGUUUCAUUUAAAUUACUUUUAAAAUUGAAUAGCCACAUAUACAGUAGGGGCUGUUGUGUGAGAGGUGCAGGUCUACAGGAUCGGUCUCUGGAAGUGAGAUUGCUGAGUCAUAGGUUGUGCACAUUAGAUAAGUAGUACAAAAUCGCCCUUCAGAAAUUUUGUACCAAUCUGUGUUUCUGCCAAUGGUGGUGAAGAGUACCCAUUCCCCAUAUCCGCAAAAACGCUGAAUGUUAUCAGACUUCAAGAUUUUUACCAGUUUUAGAGGUGAAAAAUGAUACCUUGCUUUAAUUGCAUCUCCCUAAUGGCCAGUGAGAUGGAGCUGUUUUCGUUAUGUUUACUAAUCAUUUGUAAUUCUCUGAUUUGCCUAUUCAAGUUCCUUGCUCAGCUUCCAAAUGAGUCAUCUUAAAAACAACUGGACACGAUUGCUUUUGGAAAAUUUCAGUGCUGCAAGGUAUUUCCCUACCACCACCAAAGAUUAUCUUUACUAGAAUCCAAAUUCCAACCACUGCUUCUUAUGUCAGAAGAUAUCUGGGAUACCAGCCACAUGACACAGUUUUAUCGUCUCACUGUCUUUGUGGGUUGAACCGCCAUUACAGGAGAUUAAGUAUAACAGAAAAGGAAAAGGGAAUGAGGGGCGUAAACGACAAAUUCCUUCUGUGUUGUUGACACCUGUAUCUUCCAGGGAGAGCUCUGUGCAGCCUGAACGGGGAUGGGACGCUGAGCUGGGCUGGCGGCUGCACCGGGAGUUCCUCGCGUUAGAGGGGUGUGGCUGUGGACGUGUCUCUUCAGUCUGGUGGUGUUUAGGGGCGGUGGACGGAAAUGAUGGUGCUGGGGCAUGACGAGGUGCAAGGAACUGCUGCUGAGAUGCUCCCCUAAUCAACUGCUUCGUUACCUACCUGAUGAGGUUGGUUGUGCUUACGGCCUGAGUCAGAUGGGAAGGAGAUUGCUGUAGGUCGGUGCCUUUUCCUUCCUUGCGCUCUCCCUUUGAAGUGAUGUGUUCUUACAGCGUUAAGGAGCCAGACUUUGUGUUGAUCCAGUAACCCGGACAUGAACGUAGGGACGUGAAGUUCAGCCUUUAUUCCGCAGUUUUACUGACUCAUAUUGCUGGCUGGACUGUGUUCUGAGUACCCUCGUCAUUAGGUUGUAGCAGAAAGGAAAGCACAUUUCUUGAGCUUCUGUGCCAGGCCCUGUCCUGGUCACCUACGUGACGUAAUCUGCUGGCUGCUCACACAAACAGCUUGGAGCACAGUCGCCCGGGAGAGGAAGCCAUGCCAGGGGUCCUGGGACAGACGUCUUCCGUGUGGUUUCUCAUGUGGAAAUUCUCAGUACUAGCUCUUCUCUCCUGUAAAAUGCACCUGAGCAAUUCCCCCCUCCGCUGCCGCCCCCGUCUCUCCAGUUUAGCCUUGUAACUCCUGUGGCCACUCAUUUAUCUGAUCUUAUUUAAUUUGAAAAAUCGGUCCAUUCAGGACCCCGCUGGGAUCCACAUUCUUGAGCCUUACCCUCGAGGUAGCUUAUUUGCCCUUCAGUGCAGCCUGGGAGCAGAGAACCAACAUUCUGGUUUAGACGCGUCUGAUGUCAGGUGGUUCUUUGAUUCGGUGGCUCCAUGCCUGGGAAUUUGCCUUAAGGAAAUCAUCAGAGAUGCACACAGAUUGAUGUACCGGGUUUCUCACUGCAGUGUUCUUUAUAAUAGAGACAAAUUGAUAACUGUUCAAACGGGGAUGAUGAAAUGAACGGGGAAUGACGGUAUGUCUCUCCAUUAAGCAGAAUAUUACUCAGCCAUCAAAAAUCAUGUUUCUGAGGAGUAAGAAUCAUUGAGGAUUGUUCACAAUGUUACACAGAGAAAGCAAGGUAAAAAAACUAAUCUCAGUUUUAUUUAAGAAAAAUGUUUAUGCAAAUAUAGGAGAAAAGACUCCAGAAUAUUAAUGUUCAUUACCUCAGGAAGGUGGAAUCAUAACUAAUUUUUAUUUGUUUUAUGUUUUACUACAAUUUUUCUGGUUUUCUAAAGUGAAUUUCUUAUUUCUGUAACCAGGGGCAAGUUCUUCUAAUCAGUGUUAUUGUGAAAAAGGCAGAGGGCUCCUCGCAGGCCACAGCAGGCAGCGUAUCUGGCAGUGGAGAUGGACUCCUGCUGCAGAGACUGCAGGAGCUUCCUUCUGAAGCUCCUCAUGCUCCACGGAGCUGGGUUUUUGAGCUGCUUGAGCAAGAAGGGAGAUGUGAUGUGCGUUCCUGCUGCGUCCUCAGCUCUGGACGUGUGAGCUGCGGCCCCAACUCCCCUGAGUCUGGCUGACUUAAGAGCGAAGAGGGAAGACCGAGCAGAGUGUGACGGUCCCUUUAACAAAGGUCCCAUGGGGGACCAGCCCUGCUGGCAGACGGCUCAUCACCGAAGGCUCGGUGUGUGCGAACGCACGGCAAUUUCGGGAUGCCGGGCUCUGCAGGUCGUUCUUUCCUUUUCUCCCUCAUGUGUAUUUUCUGCACAAACGUGUACUAGUAGUAAAAUAAGAGAAACAAAGGUAUUUGAAAAAUAGAAGUAAACAAAUCAUAGCUUUUAUUUUUGUGGAAACUCAAUAAGAAACAUUAUAUAGGUAUUUAGAAAAAGACUUCAGAGGCAAAACUUUUGAGGGGCAUGUUUUUAUUAUAAAUGUAAUAUGGUUGAUUAAUGAAAAAUCACAAUGAAGUACCGAGAAAAUGUUUGUCAAUAUAAAAGUUUUAGCAGCAUUUCCAUAGUUUCAGGCUCUAGCAUUAGUCACACUUCCUCCCGCUAUUGAAAAAGAAGACGCCAGUGGGGCUCCAGCAGAACAUCGCACCGCUCCACUUAGUGAAGGCCUCAAGGAAAUCCUCAAGUCCAGUGUAUGUGUAACAGCUCAGCCCUCCCCACUCCUGAGCUUCCAGAAUGUCAAAGCACUUGCCUCCAUGUCUGAGGUCAGAGGUCCAUCCUUCAGGCUGCAGGGGAGGAGGGGGUGGAAAUUUAAACCGGACUUGAUAAUGUAGUGCUCGAUCACGCGUCCUCGCCGCUGUACCUUCUCUACACUGGCGACAACGAAGGGCCAAGAUCUGGCACGGGGCAGCGGUGGCAGCGUGGUGGCGGGGAGGGGGACCGGAAGUGGGAGGUGCACAUGUGGGGGGCUGGUGCCUCACCAUACACCCUGCUCCAGGGCAGCUCAGAGCAUGGUGCUCCUGCCGCCUCCCAGGCUCAUGGCAGGAUUAGUGAGAAGGGGAGACAAACAGUAUGAAAAUAGAAUACUGGCAAACUAUUCCCCUGCUUCUUUGGUACUCUCCAAACUUCUCUGAUCAAAAAAGGAUAAGGGAAGCACACCAUUAAAAAAAUUACAGUUUUAAGUAUUUACAGAAGCCAUUAUGAUAUAUUACAUAAUCAAUACACAGUAUAUGAACAAAUUCUUCAGUGAAAGCACUUGUGAACUCCUGUUCCAGUAUUCAAUAGCACAGACACGCAUACACCUUCCCAAAUGGGUAUCAUCCAUCCUGUAUCUCACUUACGUUACAGUAUAUUAAAUGGGAAAAAAAUACCGUUUUCCAAUCUACAUUUUCCUUUUCAAAGGUUCUUAAAAUUUGCCACUGAAAUCAGUAUGUACAAAGAUUUGUUGAAUAUCGAAUUCUAGGCAAGUGUCUCCACUCCCAUUUCGAGUAUGUCUGAAAUAGCACUACCUAUUAUUCUAUGUAUACCAUAUAUAUUUAAUAUAUAAGUAACCGCACCAUGUUAUAUCACCACGAUACCAGUUUAG
This is a non-coding RNA of Kogia breviceps (pygmy sperm whale), 4571 nucleotides long. Lineage: Eukaryota; Metazoa; Chordata; Mammalia; Artiodactyla; Physeteridae. The record is from RefSeq and is a predicted model, not a curated record.